RNAcentral lists this long non-coding RNA (1297 nucleotides) under Sinocyclocheilus grahami. Its description in RNAcentral is "lncRNA (ENSSGRG00000005630.1)". Lineage: Eukaryota; Metazoa; Chordata; Actinopteri; Cypriniformes; Cyprinidae. The record is from RNAcentral.
UGAGACUGUUUCAAAUAUCUACGUUUUUCUUUAAUCUAGUCCCUGUUCUCAAAAUAUUGUUGUUAAUAUUUUUGACAAUUUUUAAAAAAUAAUUUUUCUCAUCUUCACACAGUGUUAAGGAUUUGCAGUCUAUGGAGGCAGCUGUUGAGCCUCUUAAUGAGGGAAUUUUCUCUCUCUGUAACAUUUGCAAGUCUCUCUUUGAUGCUCAAGUUGAUCAAACCACUGACAUGUGCUCCAAUUACAAACAAACCAGGGGACAUAUUGAGAACACUGAGCGGUGCCUGGAAAAAUCUGAGACGAUAAGUAAAGAAAAACUGGGAUCUUUGGAUGAAUGCAUAGAGCGAUUUACUAAAGAAAAAGGAAAUUAUGAGCAGCAGAAGAAGGAAAAAUGUAUGGCCAAUGAUAAAUUAAAUACUGAGAAGAACUCUGCUGAAGAAUUGUUAAAGAAUGCCAAAGCAGCUUUGGAGCAGGCAGAAAAAAAUGUAGAAUCAGCAAAAUAUGCCUUAAGAGUACAUCAAGACAGGAAGAGCACAGGUGAUGGGCUAGUGAUUGCAGGGGCAGCACUGCUUGCAUUACCAUUUAUUGGAUGGAUUUCUGGUUCAAUCAUGAUCUGUGAGGGAGAACGUUUAAUUAAUGAGGCUUCAAGGGCUAUCAGGGAUGCUGAAGAUGAGCUUGAAGAAAAUGAGUCUAAGGUGAAUGAGAACAGCAAGAAAGUGUCUAAUUACCAAUCCAGGAUCUCUAGCAUACAGAAUGAGAUUGAAGAGACUGAUAAGGUGCUGAAUAAAAUUCAGAGGGAGACUGAAGAGGUGAACCAGCAUCUAGAGGUCACAGCUGAAUUUCAAGAAAUUGUCAGGAAGGCUGUGAACGCUGUGAGUGUUCUUAGGGGUAGAGUCACUGUACUGGAGAGACAAACACAACGAUUCGUCCUCUGGCAGCCUGUGAUAAAGGCCAUUAAGGAUGUGAUGAAGGCAGCUGAAAAUGUUGCAGGGGAUCGCCUCCUCUACAGUCAGGGUGUGUCUGGCCUCAUAAAUACAUUGAGGGAGAAAACUGGAGAACUAGAGGCUUUAUGCAACUCACCCAAUAAUUCUGAACAAGACAGCUAUUACUGAUCAUCAUCUAAUUGUACAAUGCAUAAAGAAAAUGCUGUACAUGUGUAAGGGGGCAAGAAACAAAUGACAACAAGACACUAAAAAACAAGUGGUGUUUCAUAUAAAAGCAUGACAUAGCAAUGGCCAACCUCAAAAGUAUUAUAGUGAAUCAACUGUCUUUUUCAUAUUGAAAUGUAAUGAGUGAUCAG